AGUGAACGCUGGCGGUAGGCCUAACACAUGCAAGUCGAACGGCAGCACAGUAAGAGCUUGCUCUUACGGGUGGCGAGUGGCGGACGGGUGAGGAAUACAUCGGAAUCUACUUUUUCGUGGGGGAUAACGUAGGGAAACUUACGCUAAUACCGCAUACGACCUACGGGUGAAAGCAGGGGAUCUUCGGACCUUGCGCGAUUGAAUGAGCCGAUGUCGGAUUAGCUAGUUGGCGGGGUAAAGGCCCACCAAGGCGACGAUCCGUAGCUGGUCUGAGAGGAUGAUCAGCCACACUGGAACUGAGACACGGUCCAGACUCCUACGGGAGGCAGCAGUGGGGAAUAUUGGACAAUGGGCUCAAGCCUGAUCCAGCCAUGCCGCGUGGGUGAAGAAGGCCUUCGGGUUGUAAAGCCCUUUUGUUGGGAAAGAAAAGCAGCAGGUUAAUACCCCGCUGUUCUGACGGUACCCAAAGAAUAAGCACCGGCUAACUUCGUG
Molecule: ribosomal RNA, 492 nt
Filed under: uncultured bacterium
Lineage: Bacteria
Description: partial 16S ribosomal RNA
Rfam family: Bacterial small subunit ribosomal RNA
Source: RNAcentral